This 401-nucleotide ribosomal RNA is filed under the name uncultured bacterium. RNAcentral describes it as "bacterial SSU rRNA". It matches the Rfam family "Bacterial small subunit ribosomal RNA", at positions 356 to 773 of the family's 1533-position model. The record is from RNAcentral.
AGGGAAUCUUGCGCAAUGGGCGAAAGCCUGACGCAGCAACGCCGCGUGGGGGAAGAAGGCCUUCGGGUUGUAAACCCCUUUCAGGAGGGAAGAAAAUGACGGUACCUCCAGAAGAAGCACCGGCCAACUACGUGCCAGCAGCCGCGGUAAUACGUAGGGUGCGAGCGUUAUCCGGAAUCAUUGGGCGUAAAGAGCUCGUAGGCGGUUCAACAAGUCGGCUGUGAAAGUCCGGGGCUCAACCCCGGAAUUGCAGCCGAUACUGUUGUGACUUGAGUCCGGUAGAGGAGAAUGGAAUUCCCGGUGUAGCGGUGGAAUGCGCAGAUAUCGGGAGGAACACCAGUAGCGAAGGCGGUUCUCUGGGCCGGCACUGACGCUGAGAAGCGAAAGCGUGGGGAGCAAAC